UACGGGGGGGGCAGGCGUUGUUCGGAAUUACUGGGCGUAAAGGGCUCGUAGGCGGCCAACUAAGUCAGACGUGAAAUCCCUCAGCUUAACUGGGGAACUGCGUCUGAGACUGGUGAGCUUGAGUGCAGGAGAGGAACGCGGAAUUCCAGGUGUAGCGGUGAAAUGCGUAGAUAUCUGGAGGAACACCGGUGGCGAAGGCGGCGUUCUGGACUGCUACUGACACUGAGGAACGAAAGCCAGGGGAGCAAACGGG
Molecule: ribosomal RNA, 253 nt
Filed under: uncultured bacterium
Lineage: Bacteria
Description: partial 16S ribosomal RNA
Rfam family: Bacterial small subunit ribosomal RNA
Source: RNAcentral